CCUAGUAGUGGGGGAUAACUACUCGAAAGAGUAGCUAAUACCGCAUGAGAUCCAAGGAUGAAAGCAGGGGACCUUCGGGCCUUGCGCUACUAGAGCGGCUGAUGGCAGAUUAGGUAGUUGGUGGGAUAAAAGCUUACCAAGCCGACGAUCUGUAGCUGGUCUGAGAGGACGACCAGCCACACUGGGACUGAGACACGGCCCAGACUCCUACGGGAGGCAGCAGUGGGGAAUUUAGGACAAUGGGCGAAAGCCUGAUCCAGCAAUGCCGCGUGCAGGAUGAAGGCCCUCGGGUUGUAAACUGCUUUUGUACGGAACGAAAAGACUCUCUCUAAUAAAGAGGGUUGAUGACGGUACCGUAAGAAUAAGCACCGGCUAACUACGUGCCAGCAGCCGCGGUAAUACNUAGGGUGCGAGCGUUAAUCGGAAUUACUGGGCGUAAAGCGUGCGCAGGCGGUUAUGUAANACAGAGGUGAAAUCCCCGGGCUCAACCUGGGAACGGCCUUUGUGACUGC
This 512-nucleotide ribosomal RNA is filed under the name uncultured Comamonas sp. Its description in RNAcentral is "bacterial SSU rRNA". It matches the Rfam family "Bacterial small subunit ribosomal RNA", at positions 129 to 636 of the family's 1533-position model. The record is from RNAcentral. Lineage: Bacteria; Pseudomonadati; Pseudomonadota; Betaproteobacteria; Burkholderiales; Comamonadaceae.